This 403-nucleotide ribosomal RNA is filed under the name uncultured bacterium. Its description in RNAcentral is "partial 16S ribosomal RNA". It matches the Rfam family "Bacterial small subunit ribosomal RNA", at positions 28 to 526 of the family's 1533-position model. The record is from RNAcentral.
GACGAACGCUGGCGGCGUGCCUAAUACAUGCAAGUCGAACGCAGUGGGGACGGGUGAGUAACACGUGGGUAACCUCCCAUCAGAGGGGAUAACACUUGGAAACUGGUGCUAAACCGAUACUGAUGGAUGGACCCGCGGUGCAUUAGCUAGUUGGUGGGGUAACGGCUCACCAAGGCCACGAUGCAUAGCCGGUCUGAGAGGAUGAUCAGCCACACUGGAACUGAGACACGGCCCAGACUCCUACGGGAGGCAGCAGUGGGGAAUAUUGGGCAAUGGGCGAAAGUCUGACCGAGCAAUGCCGCGUGAGUGAAGAAGGUUUUCGGGUCGUAAAGCUCUUUUGGUAGAGAAGCGGUAUCUAACCAGAAAGCCACGGCUAACUCCGUGCCAGCCGCCGCGGUAAUUC